RNAcentral lists this long non-coding RNA (895 nucleotides) under Cyanistes caeruleus (blue tit). RNAcentral describes it as "lncRNA (ENSCCEG00000019465.1)". Lineage: Eukaryota; Metazoa; Chordata; Aves; Passeriformes; Paridae. The record is from RNAcentral.
UUUUGGCGGGGGCAGCGCCGGCUGCGGAGGGAAACGCUUGGCUCUCCGGGACCGGCGCCUGCCGCGGUGCGGAUGCGUAUGGACGAAUCCUCGUGAAAACAGCUCCCGACGUUUUCCCCCACCCCCCCCAAAAAAAAAAACCAAACCCAAACAAACCACCCACUUGGAUAAUUAAAACGGUUUUUGGCAGUAUCCAGUGUUGCUAAGGAUGAUUUAAUUCCUACUACCGGUCCUAUUCCCAGAGGCAGCUUCUCCAAGGUGGCUCCUGACACAGGAAAUGAAUUCUGCAGCAGAAGAGGAGCACAGGGACGUGUCGCCUCCACUCCCCUUCCAGCAAACUCUUCUGAGACCAAUUCUCCCUCAAAGCUGUCCUGGUGAUUACACAGCAGAAAAAUAAUUCCCCAGUUGUUGGACCAGGCUGUGAGCAUCAGCAGCAGAGAAGAUGUCAGGAAGCAGCUCCCAUGGGGAUUGCUGUCCAGAAUCUGAUCUUCUGGGGCUCUUCCACAACAUAUACAACACAUCAGCCAACUAGCCAAGCCAUUAUCCUGAGAGAUCUGGACUAGAGGUUCAGACCAGCCUCAAAUAAGAGAGGAAACCAAAUCCCUUCAUCUAACAAAUUAUAGAAACAAAUCACUGUCAUCUCUUCUGGAGAACUAUGACUAGGGGAAUGAAAUUUUCUCUUUCUCCAGCCAAAAAUGAUCAAAUCAUAACAGGUUCAGUCUGUGACCACCCAAGAACUGAAGCUGGAUUUGGGAGUCGUGUUAUAUAAGCAAGUCCAUCAUCCUGUGUUCUUGCUGCUCCUCCUUCCCUCCCCCCCACACCCCUCAGCUAGAUUAAAACAGAUGGCAGAGGGACAUGAAAUAAAGAGCAAACCCAGGCAAGUGACUAAUUUUCC